AGAGUUUGAUCAUGGCUCAGGAUGAACGCUAGCGGCAGGCCUAAUACAUGCAAGUCGAGGGGCAGCACGGGUAGCAAUACCUGGUGGCGACCGGCGCACGGGUGCGUAACACGUAUACAAUCUGCCUUUAACAGGGGGAUAGCCCGGAGAAAUCCGGAUUAAUACCCCAUAAUAUAUUGAGUGGCAUCACUUGAUAUUGAAAGCUCCGGCGGUUAGAGAUGAGUAUGCGUCUGAUUAGUUAGUUGGUGAGGUAACGGCUCACCAAGACCACGAUCAGUAGGGGAUCUGAGAGGACUACCCCCCACACGGAUACUGAGACACGGAUCCGACUCCUACGGGAGGCAGCAGUAAGGAAUAUUGGACAAUGCCCGCAAGGGUGAUCCAGCCAUGCCGCGUGCAGGAAGACGGCCCUAUGGGUUGUAAACUGCUUUUACACCGGAGAAAACCCUCGCUCGUGAGCGAGGCUGAUAGUAUGGUGAGAAUAAGCAUCGGCUAACUUCGUGCCAGCAGCCGCGGUAAGACGAAGGAUGCAAGCGUUAUCCGGAUUCAUUGGGUUUAAAGGGAGCGUAGGUGGCCUUGUAAGUCAGUGGUGAAAUCUCUGGGCUUAACCCAGAAAUUGCCAUUGAUACUGCAGGGCUUGAGUAUAGAUGCCGUUGGCGGAAUAUGACAUGUAGUGGUGAAAUACAUAGAGAUGUCAUAGAACACCGAUUGCGAAGGCAGCUGACGAAACUAUAACUGACACUGAGGCUCGAAAGUGUGGGGAUCAAACAGGAUUAGAUACCCUAGUAGUCC
RNAcentral lists this ribosomal RNA (792 nucleotides) under uncultured bacterium. RNAcentral's name for it is "bacterial SSU rRNA". It matches the Rfam family "Bacterial small subunit ribosomal RNA", at positions 8 to 796 of the family's 1533-position model. The record is from RNAcentral.